UANACAUGCAGUCGACGAUGACCCGGUGCUUGCACCGGGGAUUAGUGGCGAACGGGUGAGUAACACGUGAGUAACCUGCCCUUAACUCUGGGAUAAGCCUGGGAAACUGGGUCUAAUACCGGAUAUGACUCCUCAUCGCAUGGUGGGGGGUGGAAAGCUUUAUUGUGGUUUUGGAUGGACUCGCGGCCUAUCAGCUUGUUGGUGAGGUAAUGGCUUACCAAGGCGACGACGGGUAGCCGGCCUGAGAGGGUGACCGGCCACACUGGGACUGAGACACGGCCCAGACUCCUACGGGAGGCAGCAGUGGGGAAUAUUGCACAAUGGGCGNAAGCCUGAUGCAGCGACGCCGCGUGAGGGAUGACGGCCUUCGGGUUGUAAACCUCUUUCAGUAGGGAAGAAGCGAAAGUGACGGUACCUGCAGAAGAAGCGCCGGCUAACUACGUGCCAGCAGCCGCGGUAAUACGUAGGGCGCAAGCGUUAUCCGGAAUUAUUGGGCGUAAAGAGCUCGUAGGCGGUUUGUCGCGUCUGCCGUGAAAGUCCGGGGCUCAACUCCGGAUCUGCGGUGGGUACGGGCAGACUAGAGUGAUGUAGGGGAGACUGGAAUUCCUGGUGUAGCGNNAA
RNAcentral lists this ribosomal RNA (621 nucleotides) under Arthrobacter sp. AK-2. RNAcentral describes it as "bacterial SSU rRNA". It matches the Rfam family "Bacterial small subunit ribosomal RNA", at positions 50 to 684 of the family's 1533-position model. Lineage: Bacteria; Bacillati; Actinomycetota; Actinomycetes; Micrococcales; Micrococcaceae. The record is from RNAcentral.